This 293-nucleotide ribosomal RNA is filed under the name uncultured bacterium. RNAcentral's name for it is "partial 16S ribosomal RNA". It matches the Rfam family "Archaeal small subunit ribosomal RNA", at positions 455 to 747 of the family's 1478-position model. The record is from RNAcentral.
GUGCCAGCCGCCGCGGUAAUACCGGCAGCCCAAGUGAUGGCCGAUCUUAUUGGGCCUAAAGCGUCCGUAGCUGGCUGCGCAAGUCCGUCGGGAAAUCCACUCGCCCAACGAGUGGGCGUCCGGCGGAAACUACAAGGCUUGGGACCGGAAGGCUCGAGGGGUACGUCCGGGGUAGGAGUGAAAUCCCAUAAUCCCGCAUGGACCACCGAUGGCGAAAGCACUUCGAGAAAACGGAUCCGACAGUGAGGGACGAAAGCCAGGGUCUCCAACCGGAUUAGAAACCCCGGUAGUCC